GUGGGGAAUCUUGCACAAUGGGGGAAACCCUGAUGCAGCGACGCCGCGUGAGCGAUGAAGCCCUUCGGGGUGUAAAGCUCUUUCGACGGGAACGAUGAUGACGGUACCCGGAGAAGAAGCUGCGGCUAACUACGUGCCAGCAGCCGCGGUAAUACGUAGGCAGCAAGCGUUGUUCGGAGUUACUGGGCGUAAAGAGUGCGUAGGCGGUUCCGUAAGUUUGUUGUGAAAUCUCCCGGCUUAACUGGGAGGGUGCGGCGAAAACUGCGGGGCUGGAGUGUGGGAGAGGUAAGCGGAAUUCCUGGUGUAGCGGUGAAAUGCGUAGAUAUCAGGAGGAACACCGGCGGUGUAGACGGCUUACUGGACCAUGACUGACGCUGAGGCACGAAAGCGUGGGGAGCAAACAGGAUUAGAUACCCGUGUAGUCC
This 425-nucleotide ribosomal RNA is filed under the name uncultured bacterium. Its description in RNAcentral is "bacterial SSU rRNA". It matches the Rfam family "Bacterial small subunit ribosomal RNA", at positions 354 to 796 of the family's 1533-position model. The record is from RNAcentral.